This 494-nucleotide ribosomal RNA is filed under the name uncultured bacterium. Its description in RNAcentral is "partial 16S ribosomal RNA". It matches the Rfam family "Bacterial small subunit ribosomal RNA", at positions 29 to 507 of the family's 1533-position model. The record is from RNAcentral.
ACGAACGCUGGCGGCGUGCCUAAUACAUGCAAGUAGAACGCUGAAGGAGGAGCUUGCUUCUCUGGAUGAGUUGCGAACGGGUGAGUAACGCGUAGGUAACCUGCCUGGUAGCGGGGGAUAACUAUUGGAAACGAUAGCUAAUACCGCAUAAUAGUAGAUGUUGCAUGACAUUUGCUUAAAAGGUGCAAUUGCAUCACUACCAGAUGGACCUGCGUUGUAUUAGCUAGUUGGUGGGGUAACGGCUCACCAAGGCGACGAUACAUAGCCGACCUGAGAGGGUGAUCGGCCACACUGGGACUGAGACACGGCCCAGACUCCUACGGGAGGCAGCAGUAGGGAAUCUUCGGCAAGGGACGGAAGUCUGACCGAGCAACGCCGCGUGAGUGAAGAAGGUUUUCGGGUCGUAAAGCUCUGUUGUAAGAGAAGAACGAGUGUGAGAGUGGAAAGUUCACACUGUGACGGUAUCUUACCAGAAAGGGACGGCUAACUACGUG